Long non-coding RNA from Ipomoea triloba (trilobed morning glory), 521 nucleotides. RefSeq lists it as uncharacterized. The record is from RefSeq and is a predicted model, not a curated record. The transcript is spliced from 3 exons. Lineage: Eukaryota; Viridiplantae; Streptophyta; Magnoliopsida; Solanales; Convolvulaceae.
UCUCUUUCCAUCAAGAACAACGAUUUCACAACUACAAAUGACUCAUGUUGAAGAGAAGAUCAUCAUAGAACAAAUUAUGGAUACACAUAAUCCGAAUGGUGGCAUAGAUGUUGAUGCAAAUUGUCUUCUCAAGUUUGUGGAGGACAUUUUCAAUUUCAAUGCGGUUCCUCGAGAAGCAAUGCAAGACAGGUUACAACUACAAGAACACAUCCAGAAGGAGAUUUCAUUUGUUGUUUUACAACUCUCUUAAUUUCAUGAUCUACAGAGAGGGAUUGCACCAGAAUUCUUACGAUUUCUUCAAUACAAGUGCUUCUCAACUUUUCAAGUUGGGGUGACCCAAUUGUCAUUUCACUGGACAAACGAGGAAGAUUGGUUCAUUCUAAUGCACUGCACGUGUGGAAUAUCAACUUUCUAGAAGGAGAACAAUGAGACUAGGUGAUAUAAUCCCUUCAUUAGAAAAUGAGUUGAGGGAAAUGACUUCUGGUGCUGACCGUGAGACUGACGACAAACAAAUACAUAAU